ACAGUCAUCCUACGGGGGCAGCAGUGGGGAAUAUUGCACAAUGGGGGAAACCCUGAUGCAGCGACGCCGCGUGAAGGAAGAAGUAUCUCGGUAUGUAAACUUCUAUCAGCAGGGAAGAUAGUGACGGUACCUGACUAAGAAGCCCCGGCUAACUACGUGCC
This 161-nucleotide ribosomal RNA is filed under the name uncultured bacterium. RNAcentral's name for it is "partial 16S ribosomal RNA". It matches the Rfam family "Bacterial small subunit ribosomal RNA", at positions 331 to 509 of the family's 1533-position model. The record is from RNAcentral.